UAAAUAUGAAACAUUGAAAGUGCCCGGAGUUUGAACGUCCGGGAUAAUAGGGAAAUCGGUGUGAAUCCGAUGCAGCCCCCGCUACUGUAAGCGCGAUGAAAUUGUCCAUAUCCACUGGUGAAUACACCGGGAAGGGGGACAAAAGUAAAAGGACCGCAAGCCAGGAGACCUGCUUUUAAUGCCAAAACAUU
This 191-nucleotide non-coding RNA is filed under the name Domibacillus aminovorans. Lineage: Bacteria; Bacillati; Bacillota; Bacilli; Caryophanales; Bacillaceae. The record is from RNAcentral.